UCUUCAUUUCACACACUCUCUCAUCGGUCAGAGAGGCGAGAGAGUGUGUGAAAUGAAGAGA
This 61-nucleotide microRNA precursor is filed under the name Pristionchus pacificus. Its description in RNAcentral is "mir-8364 microRNA precursor family". It matches the Rfam family "mir-8364 microRNA precursor family". The record is from Rfam by way of RNAcentral. Lineage: Eukaryota; Metazoa; Nematoda; Chromadorea; Rhabditida; Neodiplogasteridae.